UACGCAGGGGGCUAGCGUUGCUCGGAAUCACUGGGCGUAAAGGGUGCGCAGGCCGCGCGGGCAGUCAAAUGUGUAAUUCAGGGGCUCAACCCCUGGACUGCGCUUGAUACUUCCGUGCUAGAACCUUGGAGAGGAGUCUGGAAUUCUCGGUGUAGCAGUGAAAUGCGUGGAUAUCGAGAAGAACACUAACGGCGUAAGCAAGACUCUGGACAAGUGUUGACGCUCAUGCACGAAGGCUAGGGUAGCGAACGGG
Molecule: ribosomal RNA, 253 nt
Filed under: uncultured bacterium
Lineage: Bacteria
Description: partial 16S ribosomal RNA
Rfam family: Bacterial small subunit ribosomal RNA
Source: RNAcentral